This 390-nucleotide ribosomal RNA is filed under the name uncultured bacterium. RNAcentral describes it as "bacterial SSU rRNA". It matches the Rfam family "Bacterial small subunit ribosomal RNA", at positions 28 to 419 of the family's 1533-position model. The record is from RNAcentral.
GACGAACGCUGGCGGCGUGCUUAACACAUGCAAGUCGAGCGGUAAGGCCCUUUCGGGGGUACACGAGCGGCGAACGGGUGAGUAACACGUGGGUGACCUGCCCUCAGCUCUGGGAUAAGCCUGGGAAACUGGGUCUAAUACUGGAUAUGACCCCACGGUGCAUGUCGUGGGGUGGAAAGCCUUGUGCGGCUGAGGAUGGGCCCGCGGCCUAUCAGCUUGUUGGUGGGGUGANGGCCUACCAAGGCGACGACGGGUAGCCGGCCUGAGAGGGCGACCGGCCACACUGGGACUGAGACACGGCCCAGACUCCUACGGGAGGCAGCAGUGGGGAAUCUUGCGCAAUGGGCGAAAGCCUGACGCAGCGACGCCGCGUGAGGGAUGACGGCCUGG